GACGAACGCUGGCGGCGUGCUUAACACAUGCAAGUCGGACGGAAAGGCCUUUUCGGAGGUACUCGAGUGGCGAACGGGUGAGUAACACGUGGGUGAUCUGCCCUGCACUCUGGGAUAAGCCUGGGAAACUGGGUCUAAUACCGGAUAGGACCGCACUUUAGUGUGUGUGGUGGAAAGUUUUUUCGGUGUAGGAUGAGCCCGCGGCCUAUCAGCUUGUUGGUGGGGUAAUGGCCUACCAAGGCGGCGACGGGUAGCCGGACUGAGAGGUUGGUCGGCCACAUUGGGACUGAGAUACGGCCCAGACUCCUACGGGAGGCAGCAGUGGGGAAUAUUGCACAAUGGGCGCAAGCCUGAUGCAGCGACGCCGCGUGGGGGAUGACGGCCUUCGGGUUGUAAACUCCUUUCGCCAGGGACGAAGCGUUUUGUGACGGUACCUGGAGAAGAAGCACCGGCUAACUACGUG
Molecule: ribosomal RNA, 463 nt
Filed under: uncultured bacterium
Lineage: Bacteria
Description: partial 16S ribosomal RNA
Rfam family: Bacterial small subunit ribosomal RNA
Source: RNAcentral